RNAcentral lists this ribosomal RNA (387 nucleotides) under uncultured bacterium. RNAcentral's name for it is "partial 16S ribosomal RNA". It matches the Rfam family "Bacterial small subunit ribosomal RNA", at positions 338 to 722 of the family's 1533-position model. The record is from RNAcentral.
CCUACGGGCGGCAGCAGUGAGGAAUAUUGGUCAAUGGGCGAAAGCCUGAACCAGCCAAGUCGCGUGAGGGAUGAAGGUUCUAUGGAUCGUAAACCUCUUUUAUAAGGGAAUAAAGCGUGGGACGUGUCCUAUUUUGUAUGUACCUUAUGAAUAAGGAUCGGCUAACUCCGUGCCAGCAGCCGCGGUAAUACGGAGGAUCCGAGCGUUAUCCGGAUUUAUUGGGUUUAAAGGGUGCGUAGGCGGCAUUGUAAGUCAGCGGUGAAAGUCCGUGGCUCAACCAUGGAAUUGCCUUUGAAACUGGGGAGCUUGAGUGUGUGAGAGGCUAGCGGAAUUCCAGGUGUAGCGGUGAAAUGCGUAGAUAUCAGGAGGAACCCCGGUGGCGAAGGC